CAGGAAAUAGUUUAGGCAGAAUUUUGGUUUUGGGGACCAAUGGCGGGAGUUUAACCCUCCUUUUCCUGA
This 69-nucleotide transfer RNA is filed under the name Etmopterus pusillus (smooth lanternshark). RNAcentral describes it as "tRNA-Pro". It matches the Rfam family "tRNA". Rfam says of the family: Transfer RNA (tRNA) molecules are approximately 80 nucleotides in length. Their secondary structure includes four short double-helical elements and three loops (D, anti-codon, and T loops). Lineage: Eukaryota; Metazoa; Chordata; Chondrichthyes; Squaliformes; Etmopteridae. The record is from RNAcentral.